This 253-nucleotide ribosomal RNA is filed under the name uncultured bacterium. Its description in RNAcentral is "partial 16S ribosomal RNA". It matches the Rfam family "Bacterial small subunit ribosomal RNA", at positions 524 to 776 of the family's 1533-position model. The record is from RNAcentral.
CACGUAGGGUGCAAGCGUUGUCCGGAUUUAUUGGGCGUAAAGAGCUCGUAGGCGGUCUGUCGCGUCGGAUGUGAAAACCCAGGGCUCAACCCUGGGCUUGCAGCUGAUACGGGCAGGCUUGAGUUCGGUAGGGGAGACUGGAAUUCCUGGUGUAGCGGUGAAAUGCGCAGAUAUCAGGAGGAACACCGGUGGCGAAGGCGGGUCUCUGGGCCGAUACUGACGCUGAGGAGCGAAAGCGUGGGGAGCGAACAGG